CCUACGGGUGGCUGCAGUGGGGGAUAUUGCACAAUGGGGGGAACCCUGAUGCAGCGACGCCGCGUGGGGGAAGGCGGUCCUCUGGAUUGUAAACCACUGUCCCCAGGGACGAGGAUGACGGUACCUGGGGAGGAAGCUCCGGCUAACUACGUGCCAGCAGCCGCGGUAAUACGUAGGGAGCGAGCGUUGUCCGGAUUUACUGGGUGUAAAGGGAGCGUAGGCGGGACUGCAAGUAGGGUGGAAAAUCUACCGGCGCAACCGGUGGCCGCACUUGAAACUGCAGGUCUUGAGUGAGGUAGAGGCAGGCGGAAUUCCUGGUGUAGCGGUGAAAUGCGUAGAUAUCAGGAGGAACACCAGUGGCGAAGGCGGCCUGCUGGGCCUUGACUGACGCUGAGGCUCGAAAGUGUGGGGAGCGAACAGGAUUAGAUACCCGGGUAGUC
This 440-nucleotide ribosomal RNA is filed under the name uncultured bacterium. Its description in RNAcentral is "partial 16S ribosomal RNA". It matches the Rfam family "Bacterial small subunit ribosomal RNA", at positions 338 to 795 of the family's 1533-position model. The record is from RNAcentral.